UUAAAUAGUAAUUUACUUGGAUAAAAAAUUUAUUAUAAAGGAAUGGGCUUGAAUUUUCCAUCAGAAUCCCUAUUCACUAUUCCGAUGGCAAAGCCCUGACAAGGCUUAACCAAGAAUGUUGAACCAUUUUAUGUUGGCCCAUUACAGCAGCUGGACACAUCAGUCACGGCCCCUCCUCAGUCAGGACAUGUCUUUGACUUUGUUGGUUAAAUGUUUGCUUAAAUUUCAUGGCCCUCCACUGACAAAAACAGGGAUGGUGCAGCACUGCAGCAAUUAAGAGAGGAAAAAAAGGAAGAGUAGCAAUGGGCCAGCAAAAUAGAUAUGGAGCAAGGGAUGAGCAUGAGUUGUUUCCGGUUGUAGGUUUCGUUGAAUUAGGUCCACGCUCCACCCUGCUCAAAACCACUAAUCCAGUUUUAUAAGAUAGAGUUUUCAAUGUGAAUAGGACGUUUCAUAUAAAACCUACCAUUGCAGGAUUUUGCUGGCUUCUGUAUUAUGAAAGCUGUCCAAGUGCCCGUUUUAACUUCCAGAUUUGGAUGCCAGGACAGGAAAAAGAUCUUCAUACUUUAACCCAUAACAUAAAUCCAAACCAAAGAAGUGGGGACCCUCCCCAAACCCUUUUUUAAACUGGGUAGCUACGCUCAAUGCAAACUAGACCGGGCACCGGUCUGGUCUGAAUUGCAACCCGCAAUUCAAAAUUGAGAAAGAAGACAAGUCAAAACUAGACCAGCUCUUGAUGGUUUCAGCCAGUUCCUAUACAAGAUGAUUCAGAAUAGAUUCCGAUCCGAUUUAAUGUAUUAAAACCAUACCACCGGACUCAACUGCAGAUUCCAAAUCAAGGUUUGAAGAAGAAAGGACUGACAGUGACCUCCCCAUUUAAGGUUCAAGGCGGGUUCAGGCUGUUGAAUCUUUGACUAGAAUUGAUUUAGAGUUUAACCUGAACUGAUCUGACCCAAUCCAGGGGCUGAAUCGACCCUAGCCAGGUCUACCUGUAGCAAGCCACAAUUUUCAAAUUCUGGGCAUCGGCUGAAGCUUCCUGAUACUAACACAAAAGUUCUUUUGCCUAGUAGUCUGCAUGACCGUCAGAUUCCUUUUAGACCAUCCUCCCCGGCCCCAACACAAGUAGCUUUGUUGGAAAUCCAGGUGUCCAUUGCAUAGCAUGUUUUGGUAUUGGAGCAAGCACCCUGAUAGUCUGGAGACGUUCCGAACACCAUAUGUAGUCAACUGUGCCUAAGAAACACCUAUUGUAGCUGGUCACCAAUGGUUCGCCAUUUGAGUCUCUUGUCCCUGAACAGUCCUCCAUUCCUGCAUACGUGCUUUUAAGCUUCAAAGGAUGUUCCAAAAGCAUACUGUCUGCAUUGCCAGUAGCAGUUGCCAUUUCCAUUGGAGUCCAUAAUGAUGGAUCAUAUGCAUUUCUGUCCACGCUGACAGCCUCAGAAUCUGGGUCCAGAGAAAAGUCAUCAAGAACUUCAUUAAUAGGUGAAUGCAACUCUGAGUCAUUUGGAUCAGAAGCAAAUUCAUUCUGGGAGAGACCCAAAUCAGAUUGUCCGAUUUGACAAAUGUCUGAGGAAUCUUCUGAGUUAUGUAGCGCAGAUAAAAAUGUACUUCGACUUUCACCUAUCAUUUCGCUUUCCAAUUGGAAGUUGUUUAUCUCCUGCCGAGAUGCAUCAUCCAGUUUCUUAUCUGCAUGGUAAAUGCUAGUAGAGACACUUGAGAUAUUGGCUUGAAAGGGGGCUGAAAGGUCACAAUUCUCAUCAUUAACAACUGGCUGGGAAGGCAGAUUUCCAGAGCUCUCCAGACGAGAGACUUUAAGAGAUUGUGCAAGAUUAUUGAAGUCUGUGCCUUUAUUUUCUUUAUAAAUGUUAGAGUGGGAAUGCUCACAUGGCAAUCCCUGACUAGAAAGAGAAGAAGACUUUGUCUGUUCCAUCUCAUUCUUAUCUGGAUAGGCGUCUUGAGCAGGGGAAGCUAAUGUAGGAUUUAACUUAUAAAUCUGCUCAUUCAUUUUACCAUCAGCAAACUGACUCUCACUAUGAGAUACAGUUAGAUUUUCCUCAAUGCUAUCAAUCAAAACUGAGAUAGUUGACUUGGCACCUUCCUUACAACUGUCUAUAACAUCCUGCUGAGUUUCUUUUGUCUCUUCAACACAUACUGCAUUGUCCACAGUCCCAAAUUGCACCGAUUUGCAUGACAUAUAAGACACAUCUAGCACAGUUCUAGUAUGUUGAGGCUGAGAGUAAUCAUUAAUAGAAGGAAUAUUCUCCUCACUUUUGUCCAGAUAAUUCUGCUUUUGUGUGUCAAACAGAGAAUCAGCCAGCUGGUUUGAGUUAUUGGAAGAAUAAGUCCUGGGAUUGGGAUUAGGACUAUGACUUAGGUUAUAUGGCCUUGGAGGACGUAUUUCAGCCGAAGCUUGUCCUGAUACCUUAUCUCGAUCAACUCCAGACAAAUCUAACUACAAAAUAUCAAUGAAACUAACAGUGCAUUCACAGUACUCAUACAUCAAAUAUGCCAAAAAAAAAAAUGGAACAAAAAUUACCUUCUGUUCCGAGAUAAAAUUGUACAAUGGACUCUAUGCAAAAGCAUGAAUGUCAGCAUCAUAAUAAACUAUUACAGAAAUCAACAAGUCACAGAAGACCAAAACAGGAUAAUUUUAUGCCAUUUAAGAAAUGCAAAACUAGUAGUUAUAACCUUUGGUGUACAGUUAAAAUCUCCACAAAGAACAACUGGUGCAUUCCACGUUUUUGAAACAGCAUAUGCUUUAUCUAGGAGUGUUCUAACCUGACCAAGCUUAAUUUCUCCUCUUUUAGGAUUGUAAAGCACAUGAAUAUUACAUAUGAUCACUUUAUUAGAACCUGCUGAACUUGGAGGCUGAGCCAAUGAAUGUGCAUUACAAUGUUUACUCGUUAACUGCUCUAGCACACAUAUCUGACAAACAUUAUCCCGAAGUCCAAGCUUAUUGAACUCAAUAGAUUCUUCAUACAGCAACUUGAAUCUAACAUGGAUGUAGUCAAUUGAAGUUUUAGACUACAUUAACAAAUAUUUGCUUGAUUCCAUAUCUUAUAAGACCAACAUGAAUAAUAAAAUAUCUUUUUUUUUUCCAAAACUUAAAAAAGAAGAACAAGAUAGAGAAAGUUAAAGAGCAAAAUUAAGCAGCAAAGGGGGAAAAAUCAACAGAUGAAUUUUUAUCACACACACCUCCUGCAACAUAUGAGCCAAAAUCCAAAUUUGAACUGAAUUACCACAAAGAAAUCAGGUGGAAAUAGGGUCCAUCAAGAUAUUGGUUAAGGUACACAAACUAAAGACUUAAGACUAAUCCAUAUUCAAGAGAUAUUCAACUCUGAAUUUCUUCAAAAUGUUGCUCUCCCUGGAAGAUAUGCUGCCAUUGGCUGCCCAUGGACUAUCAUUCAAAAAGCAUAGAAUCAAGUGUGUGUGUGUGUGAGAAACCUAAUGACAGAAUGGCUGCUCUGUUGUAGGGAGAAUUUAGAGGAGAGUGCCAUAAAUUUGUGGAGCUUUCAUGGCAUACAAAUUGCGAGGCGUGACUAUGUAUGCAUUGUUGUGAAAAUAGGUGCACUAUCUAUGUGGAAAGAAAGAGCUCCAAGGAAGCUAAAGUGGAGAUGGAUGAAUUACUUAUUUAAAAAGAACACAUUAAAGCAGCAAUUUCAACAACAAUAAAUAGAACAGUGGCCAACUGCCUAUUUGAACAAUAAACAUUCUAUGGUAACAAAUGUAACUAUUAAUCUCCAUGCAGCAUCAUAAAUGAGAACCAACUAAAGGGCCAUAAAAACUGUAGGUGUUCUUUUACCUUGAUGUUCUCCAAAACAUUGCACAACCAUCAACCGCAUUGCCAGUUCGCAUCUAUACCAAAUAGGAACAUUAUAAACUCUUUUUAUCCACUGGAAAAGACGGGCAACAUCUUUUUAUUUAUUUAUUUAUUUCUUUUCUGAUGAUCAAAUAAGAGCUCUAUAACGGUUUGGCCAACCUCUAAUUCAACUUCCCAGGCCAUGGCAUUUUUAUAGAAAAGGAGACUAACUUGUUGCAUAUGAGAGUGUAGAGUGUACAAACCAUCAAGAUUAACUAUAUAUGCUCAUUUUCAUGCAAGCUCACCCAAAUAUACACAUUGCAACAAAAAAUAACACACAUUUUUCCAGCUUCAUUGACAUUGUCACAAAGAAUGGAAAAUUAUGAGCAUUAUUGUUUGAGAAAUACAGGAAUGACACAAUACAAGCAUGUGCAUGCACACAGACUCCUAGUAAAUUAAAACACUUUAAAUAGAAUCAUCACUUUGAAGAUGGCUAUUGAACAAUGGCUUUAGACAGAGCAUGGGAAUCUCAAAUCUGCUACCUUAGGGCCUCAGUUAAGUUAGAUCAUCAAUGUCUUUCAAUUUAAAUUCUUACUUUCACUUCAAGUUGUGGCCUUAUCAAUAUUAGAAUGAGACAAUUUGUGAAGUGUGUACUGACAACUAAAACAGAGCGUAAUCAAAUGCAAAUAUAGAGAGAGGAACCAGUGGCUUUUCAAAACAGACCUUCCAAAUGCCACUGUAUCCCCG
This 4540-nucleotide unclassified non-coding RNA is filed under the name Hevea brasiliensis (rubber tree). The record is from RNAcentral. Lineage: Eukaryota; Viridiplantae; Streptophyta; Magnoliopsida; Malpighiales; Euphorbiaceae.